UACGGGGGGGGCAAGCGUUGUUCGGAAUUACUGGGCGUAAAGGGUCUGUAGGUGGCCAACUAAGUCAGACGUGAAAUCCCUCAGCUUAACUGGGGAACUGCGUCUGAUACUGGUUGGCUUGAGUGCAGGAGAGGAAUGCGGAAUUCCAGGUGUAGCGGUGAAAUGCGUAGAUAUCUGGAGGAACACCGGUGGCGAAGGCGGCAUCCUGGACCAACACUGACGCUGAGUGAGCGAAAGCCAGGGGAGCAAACGGG
This 254-nucleotide ribosomal RNA is filed under the name uncultured bacterium. Its description in RNAcentral is "partial 16S ribosomal RNA". It matches the Rfam family "Bacterial small subunit ribosomal RNA", at positions 524 to 776 of the family's 1533-position model. The record is from RNAcentral.